RNAcentral lists this ribosomal RNA (414 nucleotides) under uncultured prokaryote. RNAcentral describes it as "bacterial SSU rRNA". It matches the Rfam family "Bacterial small subunit ribosomal RNA", at positions 355 to 774 of the family's 1533-position model. The record is from RNAcentral.
UAACGAAUAUUGCGCAAUGGGCGAAAGCCUGACGCAGCGACGCCGCGUGUAGGACGAAGCCCCUCGGGGUGUAAACUACUGUCAGGGGUUAGAAAGUCUGAGCAAUCAGAUUGAUCAGCCCCAGAGGAAGUCACGGCUAACUUCGUGCCAGCAGCCGCGGUAAUACGAAGGUGGCUAGCGUUGUUCGGUGUCACUGGGCUUAAAGCGCUCGUAGGCGGAACCGUAAGUGUCUUGUGAAAUCCCCCGGCUUAACCGGGGAAUGGCUAGGCAUACUGCGGUUCUUGAGGCAAACAGGGGUGCAUGGAACUCUUGGUGGAGCGGUGAAAUGCGUAGAUAUCUAGAGGAACGCCGGAGGCGAAAGCGGGGCACUGGGCCGAUUCUGACGCUGAGACGCGAAAGCGUGGGGAGCAAACA